Molecule: long non-coding RNA, 661 nt
Organism: Cyphomyrmex costatus
Lineage: Eukaryota; Metazoa; Arthropoda; Insecta; Hymenoptera; Formicidae
Exons: 3
Source: RefSeq, a predicted model, not a curated record
UCAAGUUUCGCCACGUGCAGAAAUAGCUUGGGACGAUACAGGGUGCUCGAAGCACACAGCGCAGCACCACUAAUUGCAUCGCUCGCAGCAUCAUCAUCGCCAUCGUCGUCGUCCUCCGCGGCGGAGCGGCACGGUGCUCAUGUCCGAUGCGCGCGGCAUCGGCCGUUGCAAUUAGGCUUGAGAUAUUGCCUCCGGUAGUCACGACUAGUCGCCUCCUCUCUUCCUUCGCCUCCCCCUUGUCUCAGUCUAAAUCGAUAUAUAGAUCACGAGGUGGCGCGCCCAUAAUUCUUGCAUCUCGAGACUUCUCUGGAUUCGAUUUUUCUGGGAAGAGAAUCCAAUAAGCUACAUGUUUUGGCGUAGCAGAAUUUACGAGGAUUCGGGACUUUACGACAAGAGAGAUCGUAAGGAUAAACAGGAUUCGCCUAUCUCUUAAAGUUCACACGUAAAUCGAAUACCCAAAAGGUCAGGAGCGAUAAAGCGGACAAUGUCACUGGAGUUUUAAACCCUUGAAGAAGGGUGUAAAUGAUGGUUGGGAAGGGAUACGGAAGAGAUGAAAGAAUCGACAGAUGAUAAAAGACAUAGUGGUUUGAUACUCGUCGAAACGAGAAAGAAAUUAGGAAACUGGAGGUAAUACGCGUGAAGUGAUCGCAUAAAAAUUUAU